GACGAACGCUGGCGGCAGGCUUAACACAUGCAAGUCGAACGCCCUCUUCGGAGGGAGUGGCAGACGGGUGAGUAACGCGUGGGAACGUGCCCUUCGGUACGGAACAACAGUUAGAAAUGACUGCUAAUACCGUAUACGACCUUUGGGUGAAAGAUUUAUCGCCGAAGGAUCGGCCCGCGUUAGAUUAGCUUGAUGGUGGGGUAAAGGCCUACCAUGGCGACGAUCUAUAGCUGUUCUGAGAGGAAGAUCAGCCACACUGGGACUGAGACACGGCCCAG
This 278-nucleotide ribosomal RNA is filed under the name uncultured bacterium. RNAcentral's name for it is "partial 16S ribosomal RNA". It matches the Rfam family "Bacterial small subunit ribosomal RNA", at positions 28 to 334 of the family's 1533-position model. The record is from RNAcentral.